AAAAAUUAAUUAAAAAUGAUUAAAAUCAAUUUCGACUUGAUUAAAGAUAAAAUUUAUCCAUUUUUA
RNAcentral lists this transfer RNA (66 nucleotides) under Ceratosolen solmsi. Its description in RNAcentral is "tRNA-Arg". Lineage: Eukaryota; Metazoa; Arthropoda; Insecta; Hymenoptera; Agaonidae. The record is from RNAcentral.